ACGCUUGACACCUACGGGAGCAGCAGUGAGGAAUAUUGGUCAAUGGGCGCAGGCCUGAACCAGCCAAGUAGCGUGAAGGAUGACUGCCCUAUGGGUUGUAAACUUCUUUUAUAUGGGAAUAAAGUUUUCCACGUGUGGAAUUUUGUAUGCACCAUAUGAAUAAGGAUCGGCUAACUCCGUGCCAGCAGCCCCGGUAAUCUGAGCGGGCUGGCAAGGC
Molecule: ribosomal RNA, 217 nt
Filed under: uncultured bacterium
Lineage: Bacteria
Description: partial 16S ribosomal RNA
Rfam family: Bacterial small subunit ribosomal RNA
Source: RNAcentral